AUUGAACGCUGGCGGCAUGCUUUACACAUGCAAGUCGAGCGGCCGCGCGGGGGCAACCCUGGCGGCGAGCGGCGAACGGGUGAGUAAUGCAUCGGAACGUAUCCUCGAGUGGGGGAUAACCCAGCGAAAGUUGGGCUAAUACCGCAUGAGCUCUGAGGAGGAAAGCGGGGGACCUGCGAGGGCCUCGCGCUGGAGGAGCGGCCGAUGUCCGAUUAGCUAGUUGGUGGGGUAAAGGCUUACCAAGGCGACGAUCGGUAGCUGGUCUGAGAGGAUGAUCAGCCACACUGGGACUGAGACACGGCCCAGACUCCUACGGGAGGCAGCAGUGGGGAAUUUUGGACAAUGGGGGCAACCCUGAUCCAGCCAUGCCGCGUGAGUGAAGAAGGCCUUCGGGUUGUAAAGCUCUUUCGGACGGAACGAAAUGGGCGGGACUAAUACUCCGGUCUGAUGACGGUACCGUAAGAAGAAGCACCGGCUAACUACGUG
RNAcentral lists this ribosomal RNA (486 nucleotides) under uncultured bacterium. Its description in RNAcentral is "partial 16S ribosomal RNA". It matches the Rfam family "Bacterial small subunit ribosomal RNA", at positions 29 to 507 of the family's 1533-position model. The record is from RNAcentral.